Perca flavescens (yellow perch) is the source of this 713-nucleotide long non-coding RNA. RefSeq lists it as uncharacterized. NCBI's taxonomy places the organism in Eukaryota, Metazoa, Chordata, Actinopteri, Perciformes, Percidae. The record is from RefSeq and is a predicted model, not a curated record. The transcript is spliced from 5 exons.
GUUGCUGAAUCUGUCUUCAUUUCAGCUCAACAAAGGAGCUUGUGACAAGAAAAUCCCCAUCCUGGCCUCAGACACAAAGCACUUAACACCUAUGGAGUUUAACAAUGGUGACCAGUACAGAAGACAAAGUUUGUGAGGAAUUCCCAACUGUGAAUAUGAAGAAUUGUGUGAUGGAGUUUAUUGCUAAUUAAAAAAUUUGACACAUGGGCUGAACAAAGACACAAUAUUAUCAGAUAUGCUGAUAACUGAAUAUAAGGUGAUGCCUUCCUCUGCUUCAACAGGCUUCCUCGAUGUCAUUGAAGAAGUUUCAGGGUGUCAAGAAGCUUGAUUGUACUGUUUACUUCAUCUCCCCAAUACCUCCAUGUUCCAGUUUGGAGAUAUCAUUUCUUUCAAACCUAGGUGUAUGACGAUUGCUGGGAAACAAUUUAUCUACCAGCACUUUGCUAUUUAUGUGGGUGAUGAAGACCUUCCCGGUAAAGGCAACGGGGCGAACAUAUAUGAAUGCCUGAACAAUAAGCCUUCCUGUGUUUUCUCUACACUGGACAUGGCUGAGGAGCCUCAGGUGACCAAUUACCUCGAUGAAUAUAAGGGCAAGAAUGGACAGGAGUACAAGGCAGGAACUAAACUAAAUAAUUUGAGCGCAUUAACCAAUCCAAAAAACAGAUGUUGGGCGUAUGAAGUCAUUAGCAACAACUGUGAACGCCUUGCUACCU